CUACUCUUGACAUCCUGCGAAUUCGGUAGAGAUACCUUAGUGCCUUCGGGAACGCAGAGACAGGUGCUGCAUGGCUGUCGUCAGCUCGUGUUGUGAAAUGUUGGGUUAAGUCCCGUAACGAGCGCAACCCUUGUCCUUAUUUGCCGGCGCGUAAUGGCGGGAACUCUAAGGAGACUGCCGGUGACAAACCGGAGGAAGGUGGGGACGACGUCAAGUCAUCAUGGCCCUUACGAGUAGGGCUACACACGUGCUACAAUGGUCGGUACAAAGGGUUGCCAACUCGCGAGAGUGAGCCAAUCCCGAAAAGCCGAUCUCAGUCCGGAUCGGAGUCUGCAACUCGACUCCGUGAAGUCGGAAUCGCUAGUAAUCGUAGAUCAGAAUGCUACGGUGAAUACGUUCCC
This 401-nucleotide ribosomal RNA is filed under the name uncultured bacterium. Its description in RNAcentral is "bacterial SSU rRNA". It matches the Rfam family "Bacterial small subunit ribosomal RNA", at positions 975 to 1375 of the family's 1533-position model. The record is from RNAcentral.